CACAAUUGCCCGUGAUGGGAUCUGAUGC
Molecule: non-coding RNA, 28 nt
Filed under: Rattus norvegicus (Norway rat)
Lineage: Eukaryota; Metazoa; Chordata; Mammalia; Rodentia; Muridae
Source: RNAcentral